GAUGAACGCUGGCGGCGUGCCUAAUACAUGCAAGUCGAGCGAACAGAUAAGGAGCUUGCUCCUUUGACGUUAGCGGCGGACGGGUGAGUAACACGUGGGUAACCUACCUAUAAGACUGGGAUAACUUCGGGAAACCGGAGCUAAUACCGGAUAAUAUUUCGAACCGCAUGGUUCGAUAGUGAAAGAUGGUUUUGCUAUCACUUAUAGAUGGACCCGCGCCGUUUUAGCUAGUUGGUAAGGUAACGGCUUACCAAGGCGACGAUCCGUAGCCGACCUGAGAGGGUGAUCGGCCACACUGGAGCUGAGACACGGUCCAGACUCCUACGGGAGGCAGCAGUAGGGAAUCUUCCGCAAUGGGCGAAAGCCUGACGGAGCAACGCCGCGUGAGUGAUGAAGGUCUUCGGAUCGUAAAACUCUGUUAUUAGGGAAGAACAUACGUGUAAGUAACUGUGCACGUCUUGACGGUACCUAAUCAGAAAGCCACGGCUAACUACGUG
RNAcentral lists this ribosomal RNA (497 nucleotides) under uncultured bacterium. Its description in RNAcentral is "partial 16S ribosomal RNA". It matches the Rfam family "Bacterial small subunit ribosomal RNA", at positions 28 to 507 of the family's 1533-position model. The record is from RNAcentral.